UGCAAGUCGAACGUUAACGCACCUUCGGGUGUUAUUAAAGUGGCAAACGGGUGAGUAACACGUGGGAACGUACCUUUCAGUCUAGGAUAGCCCCGGGAAACUGGGAUUAAUACUGGAUAUUCUCUACGGAGGAAAGAUUUAUCGCUGAAAGAUCGGCCCGCGUUAGAUUAGUUUGUUGGUGAGGUAAUGGCUCACCAAGACUACGAUCUAUAGCUGGUCUGAGAGGAUGAUCAGCCACACUGGGACUGAGAUACGGCCCAGACUCCUACGGGAGGCAGCAGUGAGGAAUAUUGGACAAUGGAGGAAACUCUGAUCCAGCCAUGCCGCGUGAGUGAUGAAGGCCUUAGGGUUGUAAAACUCUUUUAGUGGGGAAGAUAAUGACGGUACCCACAGAAAAAGCUCCGGCUAACUUCGUGCCAGCAGCCGCGGUAAUACGAAGGGAGCUAGCGUUAUUCGGAAUUACUGGGCGUAAAGCGAGUGUAGGCGGAAAAGUAAGUCAGAUGUGAAAUCCCAGGGCUCAACCCUGGAACUGCAUUUGAAACUGCUUUUCUUGAGAUCGGUAGAGGGUAGUAGAAUUCCUAGUGUAGAGGUGAAAUUCGUAGAUAUUAGGAGGAAUACCAGAGGCGAAGGCGACUCUCUGGGCCAUUACUGACGCUGAGACUCGAAAGCGUGGGGAGCGAACGGGAUUAGAUACCCCGGUAGUCCACGCCGUAAACGUUGUAUGCUAGUUGUUGGCCUUUCAGGUUUCAGUAACUAGAAACUAGUGCUUCAGAAAUUAGUUUUUCAGAUUUAUUUAUACUGAUUACUAUUUCUGAUUUCUGGCUUCUGAUAUACUGACACCCGAUAGGUCAGUGACGUAGCUAACGCGUUAAGCACACCGCCUGGGGAGUACGGUCGCAAGAUUAAAACUCAAAGGAAUUGACGGGGACCCGCACAAGCGGUGGAGCAUGUGGUUUAAUUCGAUGCAACGCGAAGAACCUUACCACCAUUUGACAUCCCGAUCGCCGGCAACGUAAUGGAGAUCUUUCAGCUCGGCUGGACCAAUGACAGGUGUUGCAUGGCUGUCGUCAGCUCGUGUCGUGAGAUGUUGGGUUAAGUCCCGCAACGAGCGCAACCCUCAUCCUUAGUUGCCAUCGGGUUAUGCCGGGAACUCUAAGGAAACUGCUCGUGAUAAGCGAGAGGAAGGUGGGGACGACGUCAAGUCAUCAUGGCCCUUAUAUGGUGGGCUACACACGUGCUACAAUGGCGGUGACAAUGGGUUGCAACCUCGCGAGGGGGAGCUAAUCUCAAAAAGCCGCCUCAGUUCGGAUUGUACUCUGCAACUCGAGUGCAUGAAGGUGGAAUCGCUAGUAAUCGCAGAUCAGUAUGCUGCGGUGAAUACGUUCCCGGGCCUUGUACACACUGCCCGUCACGCCAUGGGAGUUGGUUUUACCUGAAACCGGUGAGUGAACCUUCGGGACACGGCCGU
RNAcentral lists this ribosomal RNA (1468 nucleotides) under uncultured prokaryote. RNAcentral describes it as "partial 16S ribosomal RNA". It matches the Rfam family "Bacterial small subunit ribosomal RNA". The record is from RNAcentral.